RNAcentral lists this ribosomal RNA (424 nucleotides) under uncultured bacterium. Its description in RNAcentral is "partial 16S ribosomal RNA". It matches the Rfam family "Bacterial small subunit ribosomal RNA", at positions 360 to 776 of the family's 1533-position model. The record is from RNAcentral.
AAUCUUCCGCAAUGGACGAAAGUCUGACGGAGCAACGCCGCGUGAACGAAGAAGGCCUUCGGGUCGUAAAGUUCUGUUGUUAGGGAAGAACAAGUACCAGAGUAACUGCUGGUACCUUGACGGUACCUAACCAGAAAGCCACGGCCAACUACGUGCCAGCAGCCGCGGUAAUACGUAGGUGGCAAGCGUUGUCCGGAAUUAUUGGGCGUAAAGCGCGCGCAGGUGGUUCCUUAAGUCUGAUGUGAAAGCCCACGGCUCAACCGUGGAGGGUCAUUGGAAACUGGGGAACUUGAGUGCAGAAGAGGAAAGUGGAAUUCCAAGUGUAGCGGUGAAAUGCGUAGAGAUUUGGAGGAACACCAGUGGCGAAGGCGACUUUCUGGUCUGUAACUGACACUGAGGCGCGAAAGCGUGGGGAGCAAACAGG